UGGCAGAAGGGCCCUUGGAAACGUUGAGUAAAGCCAGCAUGUUCGUUCUACAGUGGAAGGAAAUUCACUGAAGAAAAUCUGAGAGUUUGUGGGUUUAAUUUUAGGACAUGGCUAAGUGCAAGAGUGAACGGUGCCUGCUGACCACACCUCAGAAUUAGGCAGCGUUCUUAGCCAGACACAGACAUCAGGAGGACGAACCAGGCUUCCCUCCAUGGAGGGGUCUGCCCGGGCAAGACCCAGGCAUAGAAGAGAAGACAAUGCAUGCUCCUUGCAGGUGACCUUGACCCGUGAAGAGGAAUUCAAGAAGCUGAGAAGAGAAUGCAGGUCCUUCCUGUUCCUUUCCCUGGCCUCACCUCUUCGCAUUCCAGUCUCCUCAGACUUCAUCUCCGCUUGGAUCCUCUUCAUCCGCUGUGUGUGGAAAGUGCCUGUGGGCUGAAAGCUGAGGGAACUGUAGGUCUCACCUCACCUCUUUCAGGGGCCCAUGGUUCUCCUGCCUGCUGUCCAGGGUCUGAAAAUAGCCAUUCUGUAGAUUUUGCUCCAAUGCCCCUUGUGAGAUCCUUGGCAAGGGGUUUUGAAGGUAGAAUCACAGUAACAAUUGAAUCAGGGUUCAUGAGAACUCAGUUAUUGGUGCCUUCAAAGCACAGAAUAAAUUAGAUAUCUCUUAAAAAUAAAUGAUUGAAGGGAGCCUGGAUGGCUCAGUUAAGCGUCCAACUUCGGCUCA
Suricata suricatta (meerkat) is the source of this 721-nucleotide long non-coding RNA. RefSeq lists it as uncharacterized. The transcript is spliced from 3 exons. The record is from RefSeq and is a predicted model, not a curated record. NCBI's taxonomy places the organism in Eukaryota, Metazoa, Chordata, Mammalia, Carnivora, Herpestidae.